GGGCAGUUUGACUGGGGCGGUCUCCUCCUAAAGAGUAACGGAGGAGUACGAAGGUGCGCUCAGACCGGUCGGAAAUCGGUCGCAGAGUAUAAAGGCAAAAGCGCGCUUGACUGCGAGACAGACACGUCGAGCAGGUACGAAAGUAGGUCUUAGUGAUCCGGUGGUUCUGUAUGGAAGGGCCAUCGCUCAACGGAUAAAAGGUACUCCGGGGAUAACAGGCUGAUACCGCCCAAGAGUUCAUAUCGACGGCGGUGUUUGGCACCUCGAUGUCGGCUCAUCACAUCCUGGGGCUGAAGCCGGUCCCAAGGGUAUGGCUGUUCGCCAUUUAAAGUGGUACGCGAGCUGGGUUUAGAACGUCGUGAGACAGUUCGGUCCCUAUCUGCCGUGGACGUUUGAGAUUUGAGAGGGGCUGCUCCUAGUACGAGAGGACCGGAGUGGACGAACCUCUGGUGUUCCGGUUGUCACGCCAGUGGCAUUGCCGGGUAGCUAUGUUCGGAAAAGAUAACCGCUGAAAGCAUCUAAGCGGGAAACUUGCCUCAAGAUGAGAUCUCACUGGGAACUUGAUUCCCCUGAAGGGCCGUCGAAGACUACGACGUUGAUAGGCUGGGUGUGUAAGCGUUGUGAGGCGUUGAGCUAACCAGUACUAAUUGCCCGUGAGGCUUGACCAU
This 668-nucleotide ribosomal RNA is filed under the name Pseudomonas aeruginosa. RNAcentral describes it as "bacterial LSU rRNA". It matches the Rfam family "Bacterial large subunit ribosomal RNA", at positions 2263 to 2925 of the family's 2925-position model. The record is from RNAcentral. Lineage: Bacteria; Pseudomonadati; Pseudomonadota; Gammaproteobacteria; Pseudomonadales; Pseudomonadaceae.